RNAcentral lists this unclassified non-coding RNA (312 nucleotides) under Hevea brasiliensis (rubber tree). The record is from RNAcentral. Lineage: Eukaryota; Viridiplantae; Streptophyta; Magnoliopsida; Malpighiales; Euphorbiaceae.
AAAAAGUGAAAGAGGUGGGAAGAGUUAGUUAGGGAUAUAUAAAUGUCAGUUGUAAAGAGGAAAGGAUCAUCAUAUGAGUAAUAACAGAAUCUGUUUCUCUCAUAUCUCAACCUCUCUCUAUUUUUGAGUCUAAUUCUCUAAUUCUCUUAGGCUCUUUCUCUUCUCCUAGUCUAUUAACUCUUCUAUAACGGCUUGUUAGGGUUUAGAUCCUAACAGAUGUACACAGCACUUAUGCAACGAUUUGAUACCCUUUUUUUCUUGUUCUUAUUGAUGCUACUUGUAAUUUCUGAUUAUAAUUAUCUUUUUGUUGAG